UAUAAAUACAGCGAUGAGUUUUCGUAUCCAAUUUUAAUCAUCCGUCUUAUUUAAAUUUUUUUAUAAUUAAUAUUAUUAUUAUUAUUAGAUAAUAAAAUAUAAAUAAUAUUUUAUACAUGACUUAUGUUUUUAAUUUUUUUUAUAAUUUUUUUAAAAUAAUACAACCGAUUAAAAUUAGGCACGAAAAGUUAUGGCUACACUUAAA
Oryza meridionalis is the source of this 205-nucleotide non-coding RNA. The record is from Rfam. NCBI's taxonomy places the organism in Eukaryota, Viridiplantae, Streptophyta, Magnoliopsida, Poales, Poaceae.